Molecule: long non-coding RNA, 781 nt
Organism: Salvelinus sp. IW2-2015
Lineage: Eukaryota; Metazoa; Chordata; Actinopteri; Salmoniformes; Salmonidae
Source: RefSeq, a predicted model, not a curated record
AGAAUACAGGGAGCAACAUAGAAAAUAAAAGGAGGAGAAAGGAGACACAAAGAUAGAGCACAACACGAUGCAGGUGAGAGUCAGAGACAUGAUGGUGAAUUGAGAGAAGAGUAGCAAGUGCACAGGGAACAUAAGGGGUUGGACAGAGAGAGGGAGGAAGAGAGGGAUAAACAUCGAGAGAGGAGGCACAGAGAAGGCGCUGACCCUGAGAGGGAUUCCGAAGAACAGACCAGCGCCAAGAAAUCAUUAUCCUCUGACCGCAGAGUUCACAAGGAAAAGACAGAGCCUGUUAAAGCUAAGGAAGUAGUGAUGCGAUCUGAGUCACCCUGGAGGUCUAGUCAGAAACAAUUAAGUGACACAGAGGAGCCUAUACCACAUGAUGAUGGGUUUUUUCUCAUGGCCAUAUCUGUCUGCCGUCAACCUUUCUGCUAGCAUGAGAAUAGAGCAUGGCUAUUUAUUUUGGACCAUGGCUGUUUAUGACACACCCAAUUCAGACCAGGACCAUUGAGUGUUGAAUUCGGGACUGGCAAAAUUGAUUGAGGCAUUUGGUAUUGAUUUCAGUGCAUCUAACAUCGGAUAAGUGGACAAACAUUGUCUAUAGACAUACAGUAUAGUGUUCUCUACUCUUUUCUGAUAUUUUCCCUUUAUUCACUGACAAAUGUUUGCAAUGGCACCUUCUGUUGAUGGCUUCAUUGCUUUGCUUGCCUUCACUUGCACCUGCUUGUUGCAUGUUAACGUUCACAUGGAUACACUUUUUACUGUAAACACUGUAUAUUUGUCU